AACAACUAGGCCGUAACAAGCCUUGAACCCUUCUCUACGCGCACCUUUACCUUCUCCUUCGGCGGGUCAGCGCCCGCCGUCGGAACCAACAAACCCCCUUUUGCAUCUAGCAUACCACCCGUUCCGAUACAAAACACAAUCGUUA
Molecule: unclassified non-coding RNA, 145 nt
Filed under: uncultured fungus
Lineage: Eukaryota; Fungi
Also listed under: 1 other name
Description: sequence contains ITS1, 5.8S rRNA gene
Source: RNAcentral